AAUAUUAAAAAUCCUAAGCUGUUUGACAUAACAAAAGAAAAACAAAAUCUACAACUGACCAAAACAUUGUUAAACGAUCAAUGAUCUACUAAAUUCGUCGUGUAUAACAAGUCAGCAGCACGUGUGUUUCGUGUGUCGUGCGUCGUGUGUCGUGUGUCGUGCCCCUCGUGAACUCACCACACUUGUUUUGUGUAACUUGCAUUGAUUGAGUUAUACGUGUACUUGUUAAUACAAAUUUCCUGUAAAGAGUGGUAAUAAUUCAAAACUAGUACGACAACAAAACGUGUAAAAGUUACAACAUAAACAAAAACGACCAACAACAAACAACAAAAA
Drosophila innubila is the source of this 333-nucleotide long non-coding RNA. RefSeq lists it as uncharacterized. Lineage: Eukaryota; Metazoa; Arthropoda; Insecta; Diptera; Drosophilidae. The record is from RefSeq and is a predicted model, not a curated record. The transcript is spliced from 2 exons.